GAUGAAGAACGCAGUGAAAUGCGAUAAGUAAUGUGAAUUGCAGAAUUCAGUGAAUCAUCGAAUCUUUGAACGCACAUUGCGCCCCUUGGUAUUCCGAGGGGCAUGCCUGUUCGAGCGUCAUUAUAACCCCUCAAGCUCAGCUUGGUGUUGGGGCCUGCUGCACUGGCAGCCCUUAAAAUCAGUGGCGGCGCCAUCUGGCUCUAAGCGUAGUAAUUCUUCUCGCUAUGGAGUCCUGGUGGAUGCUUGCCAUCAACCCCCAAUUUUUCUAUGGUUGACCUCGGAUCAGGUAGGGAUACCCGCUGAACUUAAGCAUGUCAAUAAGCGGAGGA
Molecule: unclassified non-coding RNA, 329 nt
Filed under: soil metagenome
Description: partial contains 5.8S ribosomal RNA, internal transcribed spacer 2, and large subunit ribosomal RNA
Rfam family: 5.8S ribosomal RNA (bases 1-120)
Source: RNAcentral